Molecule: long non-coding RNA, 5350 nt
Organism: Hemiscyllium ocellatum (epaulette shark)
Lineage: Eukaryota; Metazoa; Chordata; Chondrichthyes; Orectolobiformes; Hemiscylliidae
Exons: 3
Source: RefSeq, a predicted model, not a curated record
AAGGCAUCCGAAAAACGGUUCCGCGGGCAGAGCACUUGAAUGACAGGCCUGUGUGCAUGCCCAAGAGCUCUCGGAAGUCUAAUUUUUGACACUUUGUCAAAUUUUCGACAGACUUACCCAACUCUUGCUGCCUGUUCUAAGAAUCAGUCAGAGGCCUGUGCGGCGGUCUCUUGACACUUUGGAGGGCGGGCAAACCCCACGUUGACUCCGGCCGUCCCUCCAAAAGGCACUUGCUAUUGGGGGAAAGGAUUGCAAGUAGCCUGGUUCCCGUGGGAGCGGCCAGGAAGGGUGCAGGCUGGCCCUUGCCUGAGCAUUCCCAAAACCCUCUUCCGCUGAGAGCAGACCUCGCACGCCGCACUACCGGCUCUGGGAGUGGUUGGCCGCUAUUGUACAUAGUCCGGUCCUUCCUCUGCCACCCGGCAAGUGCGAUGGCUCUGCCGCCCUGCGGUGCUCGUCACCCAGGUUUGGGGAACACGAUACUUAGAACAUGUUGGCGGCUCGGGACCUGCAGGCGAAAGGGGCCCCGUGGUGCUGAGCACAUCGACCUCGGGUCUCAGUGCAAGCCGGAGAGUUCGCGGAAGUCUUAAAAGAUUUUGACAUCUGCUCAAAUCUUUGACAGGCUUGCCUGACUCUUUCCGUCCGUUCUAAGAAUCAGUCGGAGGCCGGGGCGGGGACGGUCUCUUGACACACGGAGGGUUGGCUUCCCUCCUCAGGCGUUUGUGUCGAAAAUGAAGGCGAGAGAUGCAAGCGUCCUGGUUCCCCUGGGUGCUGCCAGCAAGGGUGCAGGCUGACCCUUGCCUGAGCACUCCCAAAAGCCUCUUAAGCUGAGAGCAGGCGCCGCACUACCGGCUCUGGGAGUCGUUGGCCGCUAUUGUACAUAGUCCGGUCCUUCCUCUGCCACCCGGCAAGUGCGAUGGCUCUGCCUCCCUGCGGUGCUCGUCACCCAGGUUUGGGGAACACGAUACUUAGAACAUGUUGGCGGCUCGGGACCUGCAGGCGAAGGGGGCCCCGUGGUGCUGAGCACAUCGACCUCGCGUCUCAGUGCAAGCCGGAGAGUUCGCGGAAGUCUUAACAGGCUUGCCUGACUCUUUCCGUCCGUUCUAAGAAUCAGUCGGAGGCCGGGGCGGGGACGGUCUCUUGACACACGGAGGGUUGGCUUCCCUCCUCAGGCGUUUGUGUCGAAAAUGAAGGCGAGAGAUGCAAGCGUCCUGGUUCCCCUGGGUGCUGCCAGCAAGGGUGCAGGCUGACCCUUGCCUGAGCACUCCCAAAAGCCUCUUAGGCUGAGAGCAGGCGCCGCACUACCGGCUCUGGGAGUCGUUGGCCGCUAUUGUACAUAGUCCGGUCCUUCCUCUGCCACCCGGCAAGUGCGAUGGCUCUGCCUCCCUGCGGUGCCCGUCACCCCAGGUUUGGAGAACACGAUACUUAGAACAUGUUGGCGGCUCGGGACCUGCAGGCGAAAGGGGCCCCGUGGUGCUUAGCACAUCGACCUCGCGUCUCAGUGCAAGCCGGAGAGUUCGCGGAAGUCUUAACAGGCUUGCCUGACUCUUUCCGUCCGUUCUAAGAAUCAGUCAGAGGCCGGGGGGGAGGUCUCUUGACGCACGGGGAGGGGUGGCGUCCCUCCUCAGGCGCUUGUGUCGAAAAUGAAGGCGAGAGAUGCAAGCGUCCUGGUUCCCCUGGGUGCUGCCAGCAAGGGUGCAGGCUGACCCUUGCCUGAGCACUCCCAGAAGCCUCUUAGGCUGAGAGCAGACGCCGCACUACCGGCUCUGGGAGUCGUUGGCCGCUAUUGUACAUAGUCCGGUCCUUCCUCUGCCACCCGGCAAGUGCGAUGGCUCUGCCUCCCUGCGGUGCCCGUCACCCAGGAUUGGAGAACACGAUACUAAGAACAUGUUGGCGGCUCGGGACCUGCAGGCGAAAGGGGCCCCGUGGUGCUUAGCACAUCGACCUCGCGUCUCAGUGCAAGCCGGAGAGUUCGCGGAAGUCUAAAGCUUUUGACAUUCGCUCAAAGCUUUGACAGGCUUGCCCGACUCUUUCCGUCCGUUCUAAGAAUCAGUCAGAGGCCGGUGGGGAGGUCUCUUGACGCAAAGGGGAGGGGUGGCGUCCCUCCUCAGGCGCUUGUGUCGAAAAAUGAAGGCGAGAGACGCGAGCGGCCUGGUUGCUUUGGGUGCUGCCAGGAAGGAUGUGGUCUGACCCUUGCCUGAGCACAUCCAAAAGCAUGUGAUGUUGAGAGCAGACCUCGAGCCCCGCACAACCGGCUCUGGGAGUCGUUGGCCGCUAUUGUACAUAGUCCGGUCCUUCCUCUGCCACCCGGCAAGUGCGAUGGCUCUGUCGCCCUGUGGUGCCCGUCACCCAGGUUUGGGGAACACGAUACUAAGAACAUGUUGGCGGCUCGGGACCUGCAGGCGAAAGGGGCCCCGUGGUGCUGAGCACAUCGACCUCGGGUCUCAGUGCAAGCCAGAGAGUUCGCGGAAGUCUAAAGCUUUUGACAUACGCUCAAAUCUUUGACAGGCUUGCCCGACUCUUUCCGUCCGUUCUAAGAAUCAGUCAGAGGCCGGUGGGGAGGUCUCUUGACGCAAGGGGAGGGGUGGCGUCCCUCCUCAGGCGCUUGUGUCGAAAAUGAAGGCGAGAGAUGCAAGCGUCCUGGUUCCCCUGGGUGCUGCCAGCAAGGGUGCAGGCUGACCCUUGCCUGAGCACUCCCAGAAGCCUCUUAGGCUGAGAGCAGACGCCGCACAACCGGCUCUGGGAGUCGUUGGCCGCUAUUGUACAUAGUCCGGUCCUUCCUCUGCCACCCGGCAAGUGCGAUGGCUCUGCCUCCCUGCGGUGCCCGUCACCCAGGAUUGGAGAACACGAUACUAAGAACAUGUUGGCGGCUCGGGACCUGCAGGCGAAAGGGGCCCCGUGGUGCUUAGCACAUCGACCUCGCGUCUCAGUGCAAGCCGGAGAGUUCGCGGAAGUCUAAAGCUUUUGACAUUCGCUCAAAGCUUUGACAGGCUUGCCCGACUCUUUCCGUCCGUUCUAAGAAUCAGUCAGAGGCCGGUGGGGAGGUCUCUUGACGCAAAGGGGAGGGGUGGCGUCCCUCCUCAGGCGCUUGUGUCGAAAAAUGAAGGCGAGAGACGCGAGCGGCCUGGUUGCUUUGGGUGCUGCCAGGAAGGAUGUGGUCUGACCCUUGCCUGAGCACAUCCAAAAGCAUGUGAUGUUGAGAGCAGACCUCGAGCCCCGCACAACCGGCUCUGGGAGUCGUUGGCCGCUAUUGUACAUAGUCCGGUCCUUCCUCUGCCACCCGGCAAGUGCGAUGGCUCUGUCGCCCUGUGGUGCCCGUCACCCAGGUUUGGGGAACACGAUACUAAGAACAUGUUGGCGGCUCGGGACCUGCAGGCGAAAGGGGCCCCGUGGUGCUGAGCACAUCGACCUCGGGUCUCAGUGCAAGCCAGAGAGUUCGCGGAAGUCUAAAGCUUUUGACAUACGCUCAAAUCUUUGACAGGCUUGCCCGACUCUUUCCGUCCGUUCUAAGAAUCAGUCAGAGGCCGGUGGGGAGGUCUCUUGACGCAAGGGGAGGGGUGGCGUCCCUCCUCAGGCGCUUGUGUCGAAAAUGAAGGCGAGAGAUGCAAGCGUCCUGGUUCCCCUGGGUGCUGCCAGCAAGGGUGCAGGCUGACCCUUGCCUGAGCACUCCCAGAAGCCUCUUAGGCUGAGAGCAGACGCCGCACAACCGGCUCUGGGAGUCGUUGGCCGCUAUUGUACAUAGUCCGGUCCUUCCUCUGCCACCCGGCAAGUGCGAUGGCUCUGCCUCCCUGCGGUGCCCGUCACCCAGGAUUGGAGAACACGAUACUAAGAACAUGUUGGCGGCUCGGGACCUGCAGGCGAAAGGGGCCCCGUGGUGCUUAGCACAUCGACCUCGCGUCUCAGUGCAAGCCGGAGAGUUCGCGGAAGUCUAAAGCUUUUGACAUUCGCUCAAAGCUUUGACAGGCUUGCCCGACUCUUUCCGUCCGUUCUAAGAAUCAGUCAGAGGCCGGUGGGGAGGUCUCUUGACGCAAAGGGGAGGGGUGGCGUCCCUCCUCAGGCGCUUGUGUCGAAAAAUGAAGGCGAGAGACGCGAGCGGCCUGGUUGCUUUGGGUGCUGCCAGGAAGGAUGUGGUCUGACCCUUGCCUGAGCACAUCCAAAAGCAUGUGAUGUUGAGAGCAGACCUCGAGCCCCGCACAACCGGCUCUGGGAGUCGUUGGCCGCUAUUGUACAUAGUCCGGUCCUUCCUCUGCCACCCGGCAAGUGCGAUGGCUCUGUCGCCCUGUGGUGCCCGUCACCCAGGUUUGGGGAACACGAUACUAAGAACAUGUUGGCGGCUCGGGACCUGCAGGCGAAAGGGGCCCCGUGGUGCUGAGCACAUCGACCUCGGGUCUCAGUGCAAGCCAGAGAGUUCGCGGAAGUCUAAAGCUUUUGACAUACGCUCAAAUCUUUGACAGGCUUGCCCGACUCUUUCCGUCCGUUCUAAGAAUCAGUCAGAGGCCGGUGGGGAGGUCUCUUGACGCAAGGGGAGGGGUGGCGUCCCUCCUCAGGCGCUUGUGUCGAAAAAUGAAGGCGAGAGACACGAGCGGCCUGGUUGCUUUGGGUGCUGCCAGGAAGGAUGUGGUCUGACCCUUGCCUGAGCACUCACAGAAGCAUGUGACGUUGAGAGCAGACCUCGAGCCCCGCACGACCGGCUCUGGGAGUGGUUGGCCGCUAUGGUACAUAGUCCGGUCCUUCCUCUGCCACCCGGCAAGUGCGAUGGCUCUGCCGCCCUGUGGUGCCCGUCACCCAGGUUUGGGGAACACGAUACUAAGAACAUGUUGGCGGCUCGGGACCUGCAGGCGAAAGGGGCCCCGGGGUGCUUAGCACAUCGACCUCGUGUCUCAGUGCAAGCCGGAGGGUUCGCGGCAGUCUAAAGCUUUUGACAUUCGCUCAAAGCUUUGACAGGCUUGCCCGACUCUUUCCGUCCGUUCUAAGAAUCAGUCAGAGGCCAGUGCGGAGGUCUCUUGACACAAGGGGAGGGGUGGUGUCCCUCCUCAGGCGCUUGUGUCGAAAAUGAAGGCGGGAGACGCAAGCGUCCUGGUUCCCCCUGGGUGCUGCCAGCAAGGGUGCAGGCUGACCCUUGCCUGAGCACUCCCAAAAGCCUCUUAGGCUGAGAGCAGACGCCGCGCUACCGGCUCUGGGAGUCGUUGGCCGCUAUGGUACAUAGUCCGGUCCUUCCUCUGCCACCCGGCAAGUGCGAUGGCUCUGCCGCCCUGUGGUGCUCGUCACCCAGUUUUCCAACCCGGACCCGCGAGCGUGGUGCGAGGGGCGACUUCGCUGCGGUCCACACUUUGAUCGAUCUGGCUCCGACCGU